GACGAACGCUGGCGGCGUGCUUAACACAUGCAAGUCGAACGGAAGGCCCUUCGGGGUACUCGAGUGGCGAACGGGUGAGUAACACGUGGGUGAUCUGCCCUGCACUUUGGGAUAAGCCUGGGAAACUGGGUCUAAUACCGAAUAUGACCAUGCACUUCCUGGUGUGUGGUGGAAAGCUUUUUGCGGUGUGGGAUGGGCCCGCGGCCUAUCAGCUUGUUGGUGGGGUAAUGGCCUACCAAGGCGACGACGGGUAGCCGGCCUGAGAGGGUGACCGGCCACACUGGGACUGAGAUACGGCCCAGACUCCUACGGGAGGCAGCAGUGGGGAAUAUUGCACAAUGGGCGCAAGCCUGAUGCAGCGACGCCGCGUGAGGGAUGACGGCC
RNAcentral lists this ribosomal RNA (384 nucleotides) under uncultured bacterium. Its description in RNAcentral is "bacterial SSU rRNA". It matches the Rfam family "Bacterial small subunit ribosomal RNA", at positions 28 to 416 of the family's 1533-position model. The record is from RNAcentral.